GACGAACGCUGGCGGCGGGCUUAACACAUGCAAGUCGAACGGAAAGGCCCUGCUUUUGUGGGGUGCUCGAGUGGCGAACGGGUGAGUAACACGGGAGUAACCUGCCCUUGACGUUGUGAUAACUUCAGGAAACUGGGGCUAAUACCGGAUAGGAGCUCCUGCUGCAUGGUGGGGGUUGGACAGUUUCGGCGGUUGGGGAUGGACGCGCGGCUUAUCAGCUUGUUGGUGGGGUAGUGGCUUACCAAGGCUUUGACGGGUAGCCGGCCUGAGAGGGUGGACGGCCACAUGGGGCCUGCGAUACGGCGCAGACUCCAACGGGAGGCAGCAGUGGGGAAUCUGGCACAAUGGGCGGAAGCCUGAUGAGGCAACGCCGCGUGCGGGAUGACGGCCUUCGGGUUGUAAACCGCUUUAGCCUGUGACGAAGCGUGAGUGACGGUAAUGGGUAAAGAAGCACCGGCUAACUACGUG
Molecule: ribosomal RNA, 468 nt
Filed under: uncultured bacterium
Lineage: Bacteria
Description: partial 16S ribosomal RNA
Rfam family: Bacterial small subunit ribosomal RNA
Source: RNAcentral